RNAcentral lists this ribosomal RNA (581 nucleotides) under Aspergillus ochraceopetaliformis. RNAcentral describes it as "eukaryotic LSU rRNA". The stretch from base 193 to 346 matches the Rfam family "5.8S ribosomal RNA". The record is from RNAcentral. Lineage: Eukaryota; Fungi; Ascomycota; Eurotiomycetes; Eurotiales; Aspergillaceae.
AAUGGAAGGUGAGGGUUCUUCGGGGCCAACCUCCCACCCUUGUAUACUGUACCAAGUUGCUUCGGCGGGCCCGCCGUUCGCGCGGCCGCCGGGGGGGAACCCCUCCCCCCGGGCGAGCGCCCGCCGGAGACCCCAACGUGAACACUGUCUGAAGUUUUGUCGUCUGAGUUCGAUUGUAUCGCAAUCAGUUAAAACUUUCAACAAUGGAUCUCUUGGUUCCGGCAUCGAUGAAGAACGCAGCGAAAUGCGAUAAUUAAUGUGAAUUGCAGAAUUCAGUGAAUCAUCGAGUCUUUGAACGCACAUUGCACCCCCUGGUAUUCCGGGGGGUAUGCCUGUCCGAGCGUCAUUGCUGCCCUCAAGCCCGGCUUGUGUGUUGGGUCCUCGUCCCCCCCGGGGGACGGGCCCGAAAGGCAGCGGCGGCACCGCGUCCGGUCCUCGAGCGUAUGGGGCUUUGUCACACCGCUCUCGUAGGCCCGGCCGGCGCUGGCCGACGCUGAAAAGCAACCAUUAUUUCUCCAGGUUGACCUCGGAUCAGGUAGGGAUACCCGCUGAACUUAAGCAUAUCAAUAAGCGGAGGAACU